UCGGAUGUGAAACAAAGUUGAGCAUUUUUUUUAUUUGCAGGUCUGUCUGGUUGUGGAGGAUGGAGGUCAACAUAUAUAGGAGUCUCCCUAACAACAAGUAGUAUUGCUAUUCAUUUAACCUUCUUGAUCAUAGCAAUGUAGUGGGAGCUACAAGUUUCACGUAUUUUAACUUUGUCAUAGCACUUUGAAAAAGUUUUCUGUGGUAUUUGGAAAGCUGAUGUUGCAAGUGAAGAUUGCAGACAAGCUUUAUCCAAGGAAAUCUGGCUCUCGAAGUUCGAAGAGAUAUGCCUUUUCGGUUUUUGAACAAGCAAUCAUGUCGGGGAUCUGGCUUUCGAGAUUCAGAGAACGGUGCCUCUUCGAUUUUUGAGAAAGCAAUCCUAUUGGGAGUCUGACUCUUGAGAUUUGGAGAGCAGUGUCUCUUCGAUUUUUGAGAAAAUAAUCCUGUUGGGAGUCUGGCUCUUGAGAUUCGGAGGGUGGUGCCUCUUCGAUCUUUUAGCACGUAAUCCUGUUGGGAGUCUGGCUCUC
RNAcentral lists this long non-coding RNA (525 nucleotides) under Malus domestica (apple). RNAcentral describes it as "long non-coding RNA (MDOM_LNC013437)". The record is from RNAcentral. Lineage: Eukaryota; Viridiplantae; Streptophyta; Magnoliopsida; Rosales; Rosaceae.